GAUGAACGCUGGCGGCGUGCCUAAGACAUGCAAGUCGAGCGAACAGAUGAGGAGGGGGCUCCUCGGACGUUAGCGGCGGACGGGGGAGUAACACGUGGAUAACCUACGGAUAAGACGGGGAUAACUGCGGGAAACCGGAGCUAAUACCUGAGAAUAUAUGGAAUGGCAUGGUUUAAGAAUGAAAGACGAUUUUACUGUCACUUAUAGAUGGAACUGCGCCGCAUUAGCUAUUUGGUAAGGUAAGGGUUUACCAAGGCAACGAGGCGUAGCCGCACUGAGAGGGUGAUGAGCCACGCCAGAAGUGCGAAACGACCGCGAAUCCUACGGGAGGCAGCAGUAGGGAAUCUUCCGCAAUAGGCGAAAGAAUGACGGAGCAACGACGCGUGAGUGAUGAAGGUCUUCGGCUCGUUAAACUCUGUUAUUAGGGAAGAACAAAUGUGUAAGUAACUAUGCACGUCUUGACGGUACCUAAUCAGAAAGCCACGGCUAACUACGUG
Molecule: ribosomal RNA, 497 nt
Filed under: uncultured bacterium
Lineage: Bacteria
Description: partial 16S ribosomal RNA
Rfam family: Bacterial small subunit ribosomal RNA
Source: RNAcentral